This 48-nucleotide non-coding RNA is filed under the name Schistosoma margrebowiei. The record is from RNAcentral. Lineage: Eukaryota; Metazoa; Platyhelminthes; Trematoda; Strigeidida; Schistosomatidae.
AUCCAGCUGAUGAGUCCCAAAUGGGACGAAACGCCCGUCAAACAAGAU